Molecule: long non-coding RNA, 533 nt
Organism: Zophobas morio
Lineage: Eukaryota; Metazoa; Arthropoda; Insecta; Coleoptera; Tenebrionidae
Exons: 5
Source: RefSeq, a predicted model, not a curated record
CAAACUCUGCGUCUAUAUGGUAAUAAACCUGGAUUAGAAGAUAGAAGGCAAGAAUCGGACGUGGCCAUAUUCUAUCUCAAAAAUAAUGAUGGAUUAAGGGGUGGCUAUAUUGCUUAUCACCCUCGUAAACUGCCGUCUAUUGAGGAAGGGGUUUUAUGUGGUAAGCAACCUAAACCAAAAGAACCAUGGAAGUUGCUUACAGUAGAGGAGAGCACUAAAAUUUCUCAACUGCGUUUAUCCAACCCUUCAUUUUACUCAAUUUCGGUUCUCUCAAAAUUGUUUAAGAUUCCUAAAGCACAAGUUGCCCGAAUUCAACCUAUCGGUGGGAAGACCAUUUCUGAGGAAGAUGAGCGUAAAGUACUUAAAAAUGCCACUCGAAAAGAAAAAAGGCAGCUUUAUUUAAAAAAAUUUAAUAGCGUGCAAAGGCGUGUAGAGAGGGCUAAACCACUUUUAGACAAUACUCGUGAAUCUCAGAAUUAAGAUUCUUCAGCAAAAUUAAAGCAGCUUUUAUUAUUCAAUAGCGUUUGUAUUUA